RNAcentral lists this ribosomal RNA (482 nucleotides) under uncultured bacterium. RNAcentral's name for it is "partial 16S ribosomal RNA". It matches the Rfam family "Bacterial small subunit ribosomal RNA", at positions 30 to 507 of the family's 1533-position model. The record is from RNAcentral.
AUUGAACGCUGGCGGCAUGCCUUACACAUGCAAGUCGAACGGUAACGGGCCUUCGGGUGCCGACGAGUGGCGCACGGGUGCGUAAUACAUCGGAACGUGCCCGAUCGUGGGGGAUAACGAGGCGAAAGCUUUGCUAAUACCGCAUACGAUCUACGGAUGAAAGCCGGGGACCGCAAGGCCUUGCGCGGACGGAGCGGCCGAUGGCAGAUUAGGUAGUUGGUGGGAUAAAAGCUUACCAAGCCGACGAUCUGUAGCUGGUCUGAGAGGAUGAUCAGCCACACUGGGACUGAGACACGGCCCAGACUCCUACGGGAGGCAGCAGUGGGGAAUUUUGGACAAUGGGCGCAAGCCUGAUCCAGCCAUGCCGCGUGCAGGAUGAAGGCCUUCGGGUUGUAAACUGCUUUUGUACGGAACGAAAAGCCUUCUUUUAAUACAGGAGGGUCAUGACGGUACCGUAAGAAUAAGCACCGGCUAACUACGUG